Molecule: ribosomal RNA, 253 nt
Filed under: uncultured bacterium
Lineage: Bacteria
Description: partial 16S ribosomal RNA
Rfam family: Bacterial small subunit ribosomal RNA
Source: RNAcentral
UACGUAGGGUGCAAGCGUUAAUCGGAAUUACUGGGCGUAAAGCGUGCGCAGGCGGUUGUGCAAGACAGAUGUGAAAUCCCCGGGCUUAACCUGGGAAUUGCAUUUGUGACUGCACGGCUAGAGUGUGUCAGAGGGGGGUAGAAUUCCACGUGUAGCAGUGAAAUGCGUAGAUAUGUGGAGGAAUACCGAUGGCGAAGGCAGCACCCUGGGAUAACACUGACGCUCAUGCACGAAAGCGUGGGGAGCAAACAGG